RNAcentral lists this ribosomal RNA (1686 nucleotides) under Triticum aestivum (bread wheat). Its description in RNAcentral is "partial small subunit ribosomal RNA". Lineage: Eukaryota; Viridiplantae; Streptophyta; Magnoliopsida; Poales; Poaceae. The record is from RNAcentral.
AUGUUUUGGCUUGCAUAUGCUCUCGUUUUUCUCGGAUGCCUUGGCCUGCCUCCGGCUGAUGCUGCCGUUGUCGAGCACACAUUCUCUGUGGGCAACCUGACGAUCGAUCGGGUGGGGCAGCGUCAGGUAAUCACGGCGGUGAACGGGCAGUUCCCUGGGCCCAUGCUGGAGGCUCGCGACGGCGACGCCGUCGUGGUGCACGUCGUCAACUACUCCCCCUACAACAUCACCAUCCACUGGCAUGGCGUCCUCCAGCGCCUCUCCGGCUGGGCCGACGGCCCCAGCAUGGUGUCGCAGUGCCCCAUCCGCCCCGGCGGCGCCACCUACACCUACCGCUUCAACGUCACCGGCCAGGAAGGCACGCUCUGGUGGCACGCCCACGUCUCCUUCCUCCGCGCCACAGUCUACGGCGCGCUCCUCAUCCGUCCUGGCCCCGACGAACCGCACUACCCCUUUCCCACGCCGUACGGCGAGGCCACUCUCCUCCUCGGCGAGUGGUGGAACGCCAGCGUCGUUGACGUCGAGAGGCAAGCCAUGCUCACCGGCGGCCCGCCCAACAACUCCGUCGCGCUCACCAUCAACGGCAUGCCCAGCGGCUACGAGCUGGCCGUACGGCACGGCGAGAUCUACUUGCUCCGCCUCGUCAACGCUGCGCUCAGUUACCAGCUCUUCUUCAAGGUCGCGGGCCACGCUUUCACGGUCGUCGCCGCCGACGCCUGCUACACCGACCCUUACGACACGGACGUCAUCGUCCUCGCUCCGGGCCAGACGGUGGACGCUCUGAUGCACGCCAACGCCUCCCCGGGCCGCUACUACAUGGCCGCCCAGGUCUACCAGAGCGUGGCCAACGCCACCUACACCACCACCACCACGGGGCUCCUCCGGUACGAGCAUGAUGCGGCGGCAGCAGCUGGUAUGAGUAUGAUCAUGAUGCCGAGCAUGCCGGCGUUCAAAGACAGCGCGACGGCCCAAGAUUUCUACGGCAGACUGACCGGCCUGCUGCGAGACGGCAAACCGACGGUUCCCCUGCACGUGGACACGCGGAUGCUGGUGACCUACGGGCUGGGCAUCGCGCCGUGCAUGCCAACGCAGACGCUGUGCAACCGGACGCGCGGCUCCGUGGCGGCCAGCAUGAACAACGUGUCGUUCCAGCUCCCCAAGGCCAUGUCGCUGCUGGAGGCGCGCAUGAGGGGGAACGCCGACGGGGUGUACACCCGCGACUUCCCCGACAGGCCGCCGGUGAUGUUCGACUUCACCAACGGCUCCAUGAGCAGCAACAGGAGCGUGAUGCUGACGUCCAAGGGCACCAGAGUGAGGAGGCUGCGGUUCAACACCACGGUGGAGGUGGUGCUGCAGAACACGGCCAUCCUGGGGUCCGAGAACCACCCGCUGCACCUGCACGGCUUCAACUUCUACGUGCUCGCGCAGGGCGCCGGCAACUUCAACGCACGCACCGCCGUGCGCUCCUACAACCUCGUCAACCCACAGCAGCGCAACACCGUCGCCGUGCCGGCCGGUGGGUGGGCGGUCAUCCGCUUCACGGCCGACAACCCAGGUGUGUGGGUCAUGCACUGCCACUUGGACGCUCAUUUGCCUUUCGGGCUAGCCAUGGCGUUCGAGGUGGAUGACGGCCCAACCCCGGACACCGUUCUUCCUCCGCCGCCGCCGGACUACCCCCAGUGUUAG